CUUGCAGGUGGCAGACAGAAGUACCUGGGGCGGAACAUUCUCAUUGUGAGUGGGAUUGUGUGGAUUGUGAUGAUUGUGUUGGUGGCAGUCUUCUGGAUUCAGAAGAAAAGGACAAAAGAGCCCUACAAAGAAGCUGGCUCCAUUGAGAUGACCAAGGCAGAUUCUGAACUUGAUUACUUAGAAAUUGAAAAAGAGAAGAGUCCCCCAGAAGAGGACAGUGACCAGGAACUCUGACUGGACUCUGAACAGAGAUUGACAUCAACAACCAUCUAUGCCAUGUUCCAGCCAUCUUUCUAACCAUGCCAUCAAAACAUUGUCAGUCUGUUUGGAGAUAGGGAGGCCCUCCCUUUCAUUCUUACAAGCAGAACCAAAUUUGUAAAAUCGAAGGCUUUCAUGGCCGGCAUCCAUAGUUUUUUGUGGUAUUUUCGGGCUAUGUGGCCAUGUUCUAGCAGAGUUUCUUUCUCACGUUUCACCAGCAUCUGUGGCUUUGGCAUCUUCAGAGAAGCAAAUUUCCCAUGAAAGUUUUUGAAAACUAUAAAGGUCCUGUAGGUCCAUUUUGAAAACAAAGAAAUAAGAAGUCUAGGUGCGUGUGGACUAUAGUUUAAUAUCACUUUUAACGUCAUGGCUGCCUUCUAUGGAAUUGUGGUAUCAGUAGUUUGGUGAGGUACUUGAAAUCCUUUGCUAGAGACCUCUGGUUGUGUUGGGAUAUAGCAACUUCGCAUGCUGAUACCUUCUAGUAAUGCAUGUCUAUGGUAUUUUAUUGCUUACUAACAACCCCUACUCAUUACCCCUCCUUAUUUCCUGUUUACCCAUGAGGACGCCUAACCUUUUGUUCCCAAGAAGAAGAAGAAAGCAAGGAUGAGUCGCCAUUACUACCUACUUACCUACUAAUCUCCUUGCCUGUGUCUGAAGCUGAUGAAAGGAUGCUCAGGCAGCAUCUUUUCCUGAGAUGCAUGUAGACUACAUUUCUACCUCAUUUUUUCUUGCAACAUGAAGUUAGACCUGUGUAUCUCUUCAUACACAUGAUUUUGUAAGUAAACUUAUUUCUUUUUCACUUUUAACAAGUGACUAUGUUUUUAUUGGGGACACGUGGGCUGGAAAGAAAAGUGGAGCUAGUUGAGUUUUCCUGCUUGCCUCAUAUUCCGCUGUGUGAACUCUGCUAGUAAGAUUAAACAAUCUUGCUUACUUUCCUGAGUUUCUAACGAUCCUCAAGAAAGAAGGUUGCUUACCUGUAACAGUAUUUCUUCGAGUGGUCAUCUGGACGAUCACAACGUCUGCAUCGGGAUGCCUUUCCAUCAACCUCAGCCUCAAUUGACUUUAACAACCGAUGCUUCCCUGGAGGGCUGGGGCGCCCACCUGCUCGACUUGGUUGUCAAGGACAGAUGGUCCCCUCGAGACAAGCUUUUCCACAUCAAUGGUCUGGAGAUGCUGGCAGUCGAGAAGGCACUGAGGUCAUUCGAAUUCGCUGUUGCGGGCAAGGUAGUCCUCCUGAGGACGGACAACACCACAGUGAUGUAUUACAUCAACAAACAGGGGGGCCCCAGAUCCAGGACCCUGCUCGACCUCACUUUGAGCAUCUGGAACUGGUGCAUCCAGAGA
Long non-coding RNA from Sceloporus undulatus (fence lizard), 1599 nucleotides. RefSeq lists it as uncharacterized. The transcript has 3 exons. The record is from RefSeq and is a predicted model, not a curated record. Lineage: Eukaryota; Metazoa; Chordata; Lepidosauria; Squamata; Phrynosomatidae.